This 123-nucleotide small RNA is filed under the name Marmota monax (woodchuck). Lineage: Eukaryota; Metazoa; Chordata; Mammalia; Rodentia; Sciuridae. The record is from RNAcentral.
ACCGGGUGUGGUGGCUCACACCUGUAAUCCCAGCCACUCUGGAGGCUGAGGCGGGAGGAUUGUAAAUUCAAAAUCAGCCUCAGCGACUUAGGCACUAAGCAACUCAGCGAGACUCUGUCUUUC